RNAcentral lists this ribosomal RNA (484 nucleotides) under uncultured bacterium. Its description in RNAcentral is "partial 16S ribosomal RNA". It matches the Rfam family "Bacterial small subunit ribosomal RNA", at positions 30 to 507 of the family's 1533-position model. The record is from RNAcentral.
AUUGAACGCUGGCGGCAGGCCUAACACAUGCAAGUCGAGCGGAUGAAGGGAGCUUGCUCCUGGAUUCAGCGGCGGACGGGUGAGUAAUGCCUAGGAAUCUGCCUGGUAGUGGGGGAUAACGUCCGGAAACGGGCGCUAAUACCGCAUACGUCCUGAGGGAGAAAGUGGGGGAUCUUCGGACCUCACGCUAUCAGAUGAGCCUAGGUCGGAUUAGCUAGUUGGUGGGGUAAGUGCCUACCAAGGCGACGAUCCGUAACUGGUCUGAGAGGAUGAUCAGUCACCUGGGAUGUGAGACACGGCACAGACUCCUACGGGAAGCAGCAGUGGGGAAUAUUGGACGAUGGGCGAAUGCCUGAUCCAGCCAUGCCGCGUGUGUGAAGAAGGUCUUCGGAUUGUAAAGCACUUUAAGUUGGGAGGUAGGGCAGUAAGUUAAUACCUUGCUGUUUUGACGUUACCAACAGAAUAAGCACCGGCUAACUUCGUG